CACGUAGGCGGACUGGUCAGUUGGGGGUGAAAUCCCAGGGCUCAACCCUGGAACUGCCUCCAAUACUGCCAGUCUUGAGUCCGAGAGAGGUGAGUGGAAUUCCUAGUGUAGAGGUGAAAUUCGUAGAUAUUAGGAAGAACACCAGUGGCGAAGGCGGCUCACUGGCUCGGUACUGACGCUGAGGUGUGAAAGCGUGGGAGCAAACA
This 206-nucleotide ribosomal RNA is filed under the name uncultured bacterium. RNAcentral's name for it is "partial 16S ribosomal RNA". It matches the Rfam family "Bacterial small subunit ribosomal RNA", at positions 568 to 774 of the family's 1533-position model. The record is from RNAcentral.